Molecule: ribosomal RNA, 207 nt
Filed under: uncultured Desulfovibrio sp.
Lineage: Bacteria; Pseudomonadati; Thermodesulfobacteriota; Desulfovibrionia; Desulfovibrionales; Desulfovibrionaceae
Description: partial 16S ribosomal RNA
Rfam family: Bacterial small subunit ribosomal RNA
Source: RNAcentral
CACGUAGGCUGUAGUGUAAGUCAGGGGUGAAAUCCCACGGCUCAACCGUGGAACUGCCUUUGAUACUGCACAACUUGAAUCCGGGAGAGGGUGGCGGAAUUCCAGGUGUAGGAGUGAAAUCCGUAGAUAUCUGGAGGAACAUCAGUGGCGAAGGCGGCCACCUAGACCGGUAUUGACGCUGAGGUGCGAAAGCGUGGGGAGCAAACA